UUGGAGGGCAAGUCUGGUGCCAGCAGCCGCGGUAAUUCCAGCUCCAAUAGCGUAUAUUAAAGUUGUUGCAGUUAAAAAGCUCGUAGUUGAAUUUCGGGAUCAAUUUAUUGGUCGUGCCAACGGUACGCACUGGUACAAUUGGUUUCCCCCUUCUGACGAAGCAUGAUGUCAUUAAUUUGAUGUCGUGGGGAAUCAGGACUGUUACUUUGAAAAAAUUAGAGUGUUUAAAGCAGGCUUUGGCUUGAAUACAUUAGCAUGGAAUAAUGAAAUAGGACGUUUGAUCUUAUUUCGUUGGUUUCUAAGAUCGACGUAAUGAUUAAUAGGGAUAGUUGGGGGCAUUAGUAUUCAAUUGUCAGAGGUGAAAUUCUUGGAUUUAUUGAAGACUAACUACUGCGAAAGCAUUUGCCAAGGAUGUUUUCAUUAAUCAAGAACGAAAGUUAGGGGAUCGAAGACGAUCAGAUACCGUCGUAGUCUUAACCAUAAACUAUGCCGACUAGGGAUCGGAUGAUGUUAAUUUUUUAAUGACUCAUUCGGCGCCUUACGGGAAAC
This 549-nucleotide ribosomal RNA is filed under the name uncultured Glomeromycotina. RNAcentral's name for it is "SSU rRNA". It matches the Rfam family "Eukaryotic small subunit ribosomal RNA", at positions 548 to 1098 of the family's 1831-position model. The record is from RNAcentral. Lineage: Eukaryota; Fungi; Glomeromycota.